RNAcentral lists this ribosomal RNA (253 nucleotides) under uncultured bacterium. RNAcentral describes it as "partial 16S ribosomal RNA". It matches the Rfam family "Bacterial small subunit ribosomal RNA", at positions 524 to 776 of the family's 1533-position model. The record is from RNAcentral.
UACAUAGGGGGCCAGCGUUAUUCGGAAUUAUUGGGCGUAAAGGGCGCGUAGGCGGUCAUGCGAGUCUGCCGUGAAAUCCCUCGGCUCAACCGAGGACGUGCGGAAGAAACUGCAAGGCUCGAGUCCGGAAGAGGGGGGCGGAAUUCCCAGUGUAGCGGUGAAAUGCGUAGAUAUUGGGAGGAACACCAGUGGCGAAGGCGGCUCACUGGACCGGUACUGACGCUGAUGCGCGAAAGCGUGGGGAGCAAACGGG